RNAcentral lists this non-coding RNA (21 nucleotides) under Caenorhabditis elegans. Lineage: Eukaryota; Metazoa; Nematoda; Chromadorea; Rhabditida; Rhabditidae. The record is from RNAcentral.
UGUGAUGUUUUUUACUACUAC